This 97-nucleotide ribosomal RNA is filed under the name Diaphorina citri (Asian citrus psyllid). Lineage: Eukaryota; Metazoa; Arthropoda; Insecta; Hemiptera; Psyllidae. The record is from RNAcentral.
AAAGCACCAGUUCCGCAUGGAUCACUGAAGUUGAGCACGGGUGCGCGUGGUUAGUACCCGGAUGGGUGACCAUCUGGCAAAUAGCGUGCUGCUAGCU